RNAcentral lists this ribosomal RNA (253 nucleotides) under uncultured bacterium. RNAcentral describes it as "partial 16S ribosomal RNA". It matches the Rfam family "Bacterial small subunit ribosomal RNA", at positions 524 to 776 of the family's 1533-position model. The record is from RNAcentral.
UACGGAGGGUGCAAGCGUUAUCCGGAUUCACUGGGUUUAAAGGGUGCGUAGGUGGGUAAGUAAGUCAGUGGUGAAAUCUCCGGGCUUAACCCGGAAACUGCCAUUGAUACUAUUUGUCUUGAAUACUGUGGAGGUCAGCGGAAUAUGUCAUGUAGCGGUGAAAUGCUUAGAUAUGACAUAGAACACCAAUUGCGAAGGCAGCUGGCUACACAAAUAUUGACACUGAGGCACGAAAGCGUGGGGAUCAAACGGG